Molecule: ribosomal RNA, 468 nt
Filed under: uncultured bacterium
Lineage: Bacteria
Description: partial 16S ribosomal RNA
Rfam family: Bacterial small subunit ribosomal RNA
Source: RNAcentral
GACGAACGCUGGCGGCGUGCUUAACACAUGCAAGUCGAACGGAAAGGCCCUGCUUUUGUGGGGUGCUCGAGUGGCGAACGGGUGAGUAACACGUGAGUAACCUGCCCUUGACUUUGGGAUAACUUCAGGAAACUGGGGCUAAUACCGGAUAGGAGCUCCUGCCGCAUGGUGGGGGUUGGAAAGUUUCGGCGGUUGGGGAUGGACUCGCGGCUUAUCAGCUUGUUGGUGGGGUAGUGGCUUACCAAGGCUUUGACGGGUAGCCGGCCUGAGAGGGUGACCGGCCACAUUGGGACUGAGAUACGGCCCAGACUCCUACGGGAGGCAGCAGUGGGGAAUAUUGCGCAAUGGGCGGAAGCCUGAUGCAGCAACGCCGCGUGCGGGAUGACGGCCUUCGGGUUGUAAACCGCUUUCGCCUGUGACGAAGCGUGAGUGACGGUAAUGGGUAAAGAAGCACCGGCUAACUACGUG